Non-coding RNA from Acanthosepion pharaonis, 108 nucleotides. The record is from the annotation of a GenBank genome assembly. Lineage: Eukaryota; Metazoa; Mollusca; Cephalopoda; Sepiida; Sepiidae.
UACGGCUACAUCAUAUUGAAACACCUGUUCCCGUACGAUUAUCGAAGUUAAGCAACGUCGGACCUGAUCAGUACCGAGAUGGGUGACCGCUUGGGAAUACCAGGUGCU